AGGUAAGCUACUAAGAGCGAAUGGUGGAUGCCUUGACUGGUAAAGGCGAUGAAGGACGUACUAGACUGCGAUAAGCUACGGGGAGCUGUCAAGAAGCUUUGAUCCGUAGAUUUCCGAAUGGGGCAACCCAAUGUAUAGAGAUAUACAUUACCUAUAUAGGAGCGAACGAGGGGAAUUGAAACAUCUUAGUACCCUCAGGAAAAGAAAUCAAUAGAGAUUGCGUCAGUAGCGGCGAGCGAAAGCGCAAGAGGGCAAACCCAGUGCUUGCACUGGGGGUUGUAGGACUGCAAUGUGCAAGAGGUAAGUUUAGCAGAACAUUCUGGAAAGUAUAACCAUAGAGGGUGAUAGUCCCGUAUGCGAAAAACAAACCUUAGCUAGCAGUAUCCUGAGUAGGGCGGGACACGAGGAAUCCUGUCUGAAUCCGGGUCGACCACGAUCCAACCCUAAAUACUAAUACCAGAUCGAUAGUGCACAAGUACCGUGAGGGAAAGGUGAAAAGAACUGAGGUGAUCAGAGUGAAAUAGAACCUGAAACCAUUUGCUUACAAUCAUUCAGAGCCCUAUGUAGCAAUACAGGGUGAUGGACUGCCUUUUGCAUAAUGAGCCUGCGAGUUGUGGUGUCUGGCAAGGUUAAGCAAACGCGAAGCCGUAGCGAAAGCGAGUCUGAAUAGGGCGCUUAGUCAGAUGCUGCAGACCCGAAACGAAGUGAUCUAUCCAUGAGCAAGUUGAAGCUAGUGUAAGAACUAGUGGAGGACUGAACCCAUAGGCGUUGAAAAGCCCCGGGAUGACUUGUGGAUAGGGGUGAAAGGCCAAUCAAACUUCGUGAUAGCUGGUUCUCUCCGAAAUAUAUUUAGGUAUAGCGUUGUGUCGUAAUAUAAGGGGGUAGAGCACUGAAUGGGCUAGGGCAUACACCAAUGUACCAAACCCUAUCAAACUCCGAAUACCUUAUAUGUAAUCACAGCAGUCAGGCGGCGAGUGAUAAAAUCCGUCGUCAAGAGGGAAACAACCCAGACUACCAGCUAAGGUCCCUAAAUCUUACUUAAGUGGAAAACGAUGUGAAGUUACUUAAACAACCAGGAGGUUGGCUUAGAAGCAGCCAUCCUUUAAAGAAAGCGUAAUAGCUCACUGGUCUAGUGAUUUUGCGCGGAAAAUAUAACGGGGCUAAAGUAAGUACCGAAGCUGUAGACUUAGUUUACUAAGUGGUAGGAGAGCGUUCUAUUUGCGUCGAAGGUAUACCGGUAAGGAGUGCUGGAGCGAAUAGAAGUGAGCAUGCAGGCAUGAGUAGCGAUAAUUAAUGUGAGAAUCAUUAACGCCGUAAACCCAAGGUUUCCUACGCGAUGCUCGUCAUCGUAGGGUUAGUCGGGUCCUAAGUCGAGUCCGAAAGGGGUAGACGAUGGCAAAUUGGUUAAUAUUCCAAUACCAACAUUAGUGUGCGAUGGAAGGACGCUUAGGGCUAAGGGGGCUAGCGGAUGGAAGUGCUAGUCUAAGGUCGUAGGAGGUUGUACAGGCAAAUCCGUAUAACAAUACUCCGAGAACUGAAAGGCUUUUUGAAGUCUUCGGAUGGAUAGAAGAACCCCUGAUGCCGUCGAGCCAAGAAAAGUUUCUAAGUUUAGCUAAUGUUGCCCGUACCGUAAACCGACACAGGUGGGUGGGAUGAGUAUUCUAAGGCGCGUGGAAGAACUCUCUUUAAGGAACUCUGCAAAAUAGCACCGUAUCUUCGGUAUAAGGUGUGGUUAGCUUUGUAUUAGGAUUUACUCCGAAAGCAAGGAAACUUACAACAAAGAGUCCCUCCCGACUGUUUACCAAAAACACAGCACUCUGCUAACUCGUAAGAGGAUGUAUAGGGUGUGACGCCUGCCCGGUGCUCGAAGGUUAAUUGAUGGGGUUAGCAUUAGCGAAGCUCUUGAUCGAAGCCCGAGUAAACGGCGGCCGUAACUAUAACGGUCCUAAGGUAGCGAAAUUCCUUGUCGGUUAAAUACCGACCUGCAUGAAUGGCGUAACGAGAUGGGAGCUGUCUCAAAGAGGGAUCCAGUGAAAUUGUAGUGGAGGUGAAAAUUCCUCCUACCCGCGGCAAGACGGAAAGACCCCGUGGACCUUUACUACAGCUUGACACUGCUACUUGGAUAAGAAUGUGCAGGAUAGGUGGGAGGCUUUGAGUAUAUGACGCCAGUUGUAUAUGAGCCAUUGUUGAGAUACCACUCUUUCUUAUUUGGGUAGCUAACCAGCUUGAGUUAU
This 2234-nucleotide ribosomal RNA is filed under the name Campylobacter jejuni. RNAcentral describes it as "partial 23S ribosomal RNA". It matches the Rfam family "Bacterial large subunit ribosomal RNA", at positions 1 to 2239 of the family's 2925-position model. The record is from RNAcentral. Lineage: Bacteria; Pseudomonadati; Campylobacterota; Epsilonproteobacteria; Campylobacterales; Campylobacteraceae.